AACGGCUUCAGGCAUUUGCUUAUGAAGCUCCUCCGUUCCCAUUCAAAACGUAAAAAUACUAGCAUCUAAAAGUCCACGCCUUUCAUCUAUUGUCUUUGUCGCACAGAGACAACAUAAAAAAAGCCAGAUGACUACCGUCUUGUUUUGUUUUCUUAUGGCCACUGGAAAUUAAAGAAAAUUAUAAUAAUAUAUAACAAUCUAUUAUCUUUUUGUCUUCUGAAAUGGAUCUCUGAACCAACCAAAGUUGACGAGAAUGCCAUUUCCGAUGUCUUUUUCUGAAUUCUUUGGUGUUUGAUUUUUCUCCCCGGUACAGCGAGCUCACUAAAUUCUGUUGCAGACAGCCUCUCAUUUCAAAACCUUUAUCCUUUCUUGACUAGAGAGUAUCCUUAUCCGAUAUCUUUCUCUCUUGGAUUUAGUAUUAGUGGUGCUUGUUUCAUUCUGACUCCCGAGCUCCAGCGUCUAUGGGAUUUUGCUAUUACUCUGUUUGGUAACCUGGGGCAUUGAAUGAUGUUGCUGGUAAGAUUUUGUGGACCUCUUUUCUUGGUGUCAUAUUGUUCCUUGGUUUUUCUUGCAGUUGCACGAACUUCUAUUACUGAUCCCUCCGAAGUCAAUGCAUUGCUAGCAGCAAGGAACAGUUUGAUUGAUCCUUUUAAGCAUCUCGAGAACUGGGAUAAAGGAGAUCCAUGUACGUCAAAUUGGACUGGAGUCGUGUGUUAUGAUACAAUUGGGACUGAUGGCUACCGGCGUGUUCAGGAGCUUCAGCUGCUAAAUAUGAAUCUUUCAGGAAAUUUAGCUCCUCAGCUUGGCCAACUCUCUCAACUGAAAAUACUGGAUUUUAUGUGGAAUGAAUUGGAUGGCAGCAUACCAAAGGAAAUAGGAAAUAUUUCAUCUUUGAGACUCCUGCUUUUGAAUGGAAACAAAUUAUCAGGUGCUUUACCUGAUGAACUUGGCUGCUUAUCUAAUUUAACUAGACUCCAAGUGGAUGAGAACAAAAUUUCAGGUCAAAUACCAAAGUCAUAUGCAAACUUGAGCAGUGUGAAACACCUCCACUUGAACAACAACUCCAUAAGUGGUCAAAUUCCAUCUGAGCUAUCCAAAUUGUCCUCUCUUCUUCACUUGCUGUUGGAUAACAAUAACUUAUCCGGGAAUCUUCCUUCAGAGCUCUCGAACUUGCCAGAGUUGCGUAUACUUCAACUUGACAACAAUAACUUCAGUGGGUCUGAAAUUCCAGCUACUUACAGAAAUCUUUCCAAAUUAGUAAAAUUGUAGAAGUCUUAGAAAUUGCAGCUUGCGUGGAGCUAUUCCUGACUUUAGCAGCAUUCCUGACCUAUCCUAUUUGGAUCUGAGCUGGAAUGACCUUACUGGAACCAUACCAUCAAAACUUUCUGUUAAUAUGACAACUGUUAAUUUGUCAGACAACCAUCUUAAUGGAUCUAUACCAGGAAGCUUCUCAAACCUUCCUAUUCUUCAGAGACUAUCACUAGAAAAUAAUUUGUUUACUGGUUCUAUCCCGGCUAACAUCUGGCAGAACAGGUCCUUCAACACAAAUGAUAGGCUUACACUUGAUCUGAGAAACAAUUCACUCUCAAAGAUUUUAGGGAAACUAAAUCUGCCACAUAAUGUCACCCUGAGGUUGGGAGGCAAUCCUGUCUGCAUUGAUGCCAACAUAUCAAACAUUGACCAGUUCUGUGGAUCUGAAGCUGAAGGAGAUGGAACUACUGAAAGCUCAACAAAUUAUACAACUACAUGUCCUAUUCAAGCAUGUCCAGUAGAUAAUUUCUUUGAAUAUGUCCCAGAAUCCCCUGUACCAUGCUUUUGUGCAUCCCCACUUAGAAUUGGAUACCGGCUUAAGAGCCCUAGUUUCUCUUAUUUUCUUCCAUAUAUUUAUCUAUUUGAGAAAUACUUAACUAGUGCUCUUAAAUUGGAACCCUAUCAGUUAUACAUCGAUUCAUUUAUUUGGGAGGAAGGUCCCCGUGUAAAGAUGUAUUUGAAGCUUUUUCCUGCAUGGAAUGAUGAACAUUCACACAUAUUUAAUUCAACUGAGGUUCAGCGGUUAAGACGCAUGUUCACAUCAUGGAAUUUUCGUCGCACUGACUUUUUUGGACCAUAUGAGCUUCUCAACUUCACUCUAGUGGGACCUUAUUCAGAGAUGAAUUUUGGCACCCAAAGGACAAGAAUCAGUAAAGGUGUUUGGGCAGCCAUUAUAUUAGGUGCUAUUGCUUGCACUGUUGUAGCAUCUACAAUAGUCACACUUCUGAUUGUAAGAAGAAAUGCUAGAUACCAUCAGAAUCUGUCAAGGAAAAGAUUGUCCUCAAAGAUAUCAAUGAAAGUUGAUGGGGUGAAAUUCUUCACUUUUAAAGAAAUGGCCCUGGCAACUGACAAUUUUAACAGCUUAGCUCAAGUUGGUCGAGGAGGCUAUGGAAAGGUUUAUAGAGGCAUUUUAUCUGACAACACAACUGUGGCCAUAAAGCGUGCUGAACAAGGUUCCUUGCAAGGACAAAAAGAAUUUUUUACUGAAAUUGGAUUGUUGUCUAGGCUACAUCACAGAAAUCUAGUUUCAUUAAUUGGAUACUGUGAUGAAAAAGGGGAGCAGGUAAUUAUUGCAAUGGCGAACUCUCUGGUGUCAUUGUUUGCAAUUGUUUGCUUGAUGGCUUUUUAGAUGCAAUGAGAAGGUUAUUUGAAUAUUGUGAGGUUUUUUUCCAUGAUGGGUAUGUGGAGUUGGUGGAUUGUUCGAAAUUCUCUUCUGAGAACAAGGCUCUUAUGGCUGUUCGGCAAUGCAUUGUAAUUUUUAAACAAUCAGCCACUCUAAGACUAUGACAUUUGAACAUUUCUUUCUUCUCGAGUAAAAUAGCAGUAAAGAUCCUGGCCUGAUAACUUUAUUUGGCAACUGAAGUGAUGCUGCAAUGACAGUUUAGGUCCUUGGCUCCUUGCCAUCUCAUUCAUCGAGUAAUAUUUUCAUGCUUUGAGUUUUCAGCCUGAGAAGAUAUCCUCUCUCUGUCAAUUAUAAAAAAAAAAAGCAUCAAUUAUUCCAAGUCUCAUCAAUCAGGAUAAUUUGAAUAGGGAUGCUGCAUUCUCAAAUGGAUUAUGGAGAACCUAGGAAAAUUCACUCUUCUUUGCUGAGUCAUGCUUUACUAUUAAGCCACAUUUAUUGAUUUGCAAUUCUACAGACAGGCAGGGAUUGACUUAAUUGUAGAUAACAUUUGCCUUCUUGCAUUUUUUGUUCUUUGCAGAUGCUGGUGUACGAAUUCAUGCCCAAUGGCACCUUGAGGGACUGGCUAUCAGCUAAAGCUAAAGAAAAACUGAACUUUGGUAUGAGGUUAAACAUAGCUUUGGGUUCAGCUAAGGGCAUUCUUUACCUUCAUACUGAAGCAAACCCUCCAGUGUUUCACCGGGAUAUCAAGGCCAGCAACAUACUUUUGGACUCCAAACUUAUCGCUAAAGUUGCUGACUUUGGACUCUCACGUCUUGCUCCUGUCCAGAAUGAUGAAGGGACUUUGCUUAACCAUGUAUCCACAGUAGUGAAGGGAACUCCGGGAUACAUUGAUCCAGAAUAUUUUCUGACCCAUAAGUUGACAGACAAGAGUGAUGUCUAUAGCCUUGGGAUUGUAUUUCUGGAGCUCUUGACAGGAAUGCAUCCAAUAUUUCAUGGCAAAAACAUUGUCCGAGAGGUAGCGAUGGUUCAUCGGGCAGGUAUGAUGUUCUCCGUCAUAGACAGCAGAAUGGGUUCUUAUCCGUCUGAAUGUGUGGAGAGAUUUGGGUCUCUGGCCCUUAGGUGUUGCCAUGACACGCCAGAGAAUCGGCCAUCGAUGUUGGAGGUGGUCAGGGAGCUAGAGAACAUACUCAAAAUGAUGCCAGAAACUGAUGCCAUGUUUUCAGAAUCCAUGUACCCAUAUUCUGGCACUUCAGCAUCAUCAUCUUCAUUUUAUACAAGCAUCAAUCCAUAUGCUUCAUCCAGUGUUUCAGGAAGUGAUCUUAUCAGUGAUGUCACCCCCACCAUCAAUCCUAGAUGACAUUGGAGAUAAUCAAUAUACGUUCUUUAUCUUUUCCAAAUCCUCUCAAAAUGAGUGCAGUGUCUAAUGUGCAGUUGAGGCAGCUGCAAAGUGCGUGUCAUUCCACCAUUCUUCCUGUUUAUCCAUUGCAACAGAGGACAUUAGUGUAUAAUGUACAAAGUCUAAUCUAAACUGAAAUGAAACCUUACUAUUAACAAGUUGAAAGGAGACAAAUUAAUAUAUUCAUGUUUUUCUUAAUUAGUUGAUAAAGUCUAAACUAAC
This 4271-nucleotide unclassified non-coding RNA is filed under the name Hevea brasiliensis (rubber tree). Lineage: Eukaryota; Viridiplantae; Streptophyta; Magnoliopsida; Malpighiales; Euphorbiaceae. The record is from RNAcentral.